This is a long non-coding RNA of Lepidothrix coronata (blue-crowned manakin), 181 nucleotides long. RefSeq lists it as uncharacterized. NCBI's taxonomy places the organism in Eukaryota, Metazoa, Chordata, Aves, Passeriformes, Pipridae. The record is from RefSeq and is a predicted model, not a curated record. The transcript has 3 exons.
GCGGCGGCGGCGGCGGCGGCGGCGGGGAUGCGCGGCCCGGCCCGCGGCAGCUGUGAAUUCUCGUAGAAGAUUGAUAGCUCUGCCAACAUUUGUCCACAAUUGAAGAUGGGUGGAUUGAUUUCGAGAUGGAGGCAGGCAAAGCCAUCCACUGUAGAAGUAUUAGAAAAAAUAGAUAAGGUAU